GACGAACGCUGGCGGCGUGCUUAACACAUGCAAGUCGAACGGAAAGGCCCUGCUUUUGUGGGGUGCUCGAGUGGCGAACGGGUGAGUAACACGUGAGUAACCUGCCCUUGACUUUGGGAUAACUUCAGGAAACUGGGGCUAAUACCGGAUAGGAGCUCCUGCUGCAUGGUGGGGGUUGGAAAGUUUCGGCGGUUGGGGAUGGACUCGCGGCUUAUCAGCUUGUUGGUGGGGUAGUGGCUUACCAAGGCUUUGACGGGUAGCCGGCCUGAGAGGGUGACCGGCCACAUUGGGACUGAGAUACGGCCCAGACUCCUACGGGAGGCAGCAGUGGGGAAUAUUGCACAAUGGGCGGAAGCCUGAUGCAGCAACGCCGCGUGCGGGAUGACGGCCUUCGGGUUGUAAACCGCUUUCGCCUGUGACGAAGCGUGAGUGACGGUAAUGGGUAAAGAAGCACCGGCUAACUACGUGCCAGCAGCCGCGGUGAUACGUAGGGUGCGAGCGUUGUCCGGAUUUAUUGGGCGUAAAGGGCUCGUAGGUGGUUGAUCGCGUCGGAAGUGUAAUCUUGGGGCUUAACCCUGAGCGUGCUUUCGAUACGGGUUGACUUGAGGAAGGUAGGGGAGAAUGGAAUCCCUGGUGGAGCGGUGGAAUGCGCAGAUAUCAGGAGGAACACCAGUGGCGAAGGCGGUUCUCUGGGCCUUUCCUGACGCUGAGGAGCGAAAGCGUGGGGAGCGAACAGGCUUAGAUACCCUGGUAGUCCACGCUGUAAACGGUGGGUACUAGAUGUGGGGUCCAUUCCACGGGUUCCGUGCCGUAGCUAACGCUUUAAGUACCCCGCCUGGGGAGUACGGCCGCAAGGCUAAAACUCAAAGGAAUUGACGGGGCCCCGCACAAGCGGCGGAGCAUGCGGAUUAAUUCGAUGCAACGCGUAGAACCUUACCUGGGUUUGACAUGGAUCGGGAGUGCUCAGAGAUGGGUGUGCCUCUUUUGGGGUCGGUUCACAGGUGGUGCAUGGCUGUCGUCAGCUCGUGUCGUGAGAUGUUGGGUUAAGUCCCGCAACGAGCGCAACCCUUGUUCACUGUUGCCAGCACGUUAUGGUGGGGACUCAGUGGAGACCGCCGGGGUCAACUCGGAGGAAGGUGGGGAUGACGUCGAGUCAUCAUGCCCCUUAUGUCCAGGGCUUCACGCAUGCUACAAUGGCUGGUACAGAGAGUGGCGAGCCUGUGAGGGUGAGCGAAUCUCGGAAAGCCGGUCUCAGUUCGGAUUGGGGUCUGCAACUCGACCUCAUGAAGUCGGAGUCGCUAGUAAUCGCAGAUCAGCAACGCUGCGGUGAAUACGUUCCCGGG
This 1343-nucleotide ribosomal RNA is filed under the name uncultured bacterium. Its description in RNAcentral is "16S ribosomal RNA". It matches the Rfam family "Bacterial small subunit ribosomal RNA", at positions 28 to 1378 of the family's 1533-position model. The record is from RNAcentral.